UGGGGAAUAUUGCACAAUGGGCGCAAGCCUGAUGCAGCCAUGCCGCGUGUGUGAAGAAGGCCUUCGGGUUGUAAAGCACUUUCAGCGGGGAGGAAGGCGAUAAGGUUAAUAACCUUGUCGAUUGACGUUACCGGCAGAAGAAGCACCGGCUAACUCCGUGCCAGCAGCCGCGGUAAUACGGAGGGUGCAAGCGUUAAUCGGAAUUACUGGGCGUAAAGCGCACGCAGGCGGUCUGUCAAGUCGGAUGUGAAAUCCCCGGGCUCAACCUGGGAACUGCAUUCGAAACUGGCAGGCUAGAGUCUUGUAGAGGGGGGUAGAAUUCCAGGUGUAGCGGUGAAAUGCGUAGAGAUCUGGAGGAAUACCGGUGGCGAAGGCGGCCCCCUGGACAAAGACUGACGCUCAGGUGCGAAAGCGUGGGGAGCAAACAGG
Molecule: ribosomal RNA, 429 nt
Filed under: Chloroflexota bacterium
Lineage: Bacteria; Bacillati; Chloroflexota
Description: Chloroflexi bacterium partial 16S ribosomal RNA
Rfam family: Bacterial small subunit ribosomal RNA
Source: RNAcentral